AAGUUUGCUACAGUUGCUUGUGUGUAUGUGCCUAUGUGUGCGUGUGUGUGUGUGUCUGCAUGUGUGUGUGGGUGUGUAUAGAUCUCUGUGUGUGUGUGUGAAGAGUGACACUGCUGAAACAUAAAUCCUACUGUCAACAAUGGCCAGCAGCAUUGACAUGCGACUAUGGCGGCGACAUAGUCGAAGGGCGAUCAGGACGCUGAGGAAAGGGAUUGCCAGCGGCUGGAUUGACCGCACCGCAGUGUUACAUAAAUACAAUAAAUACACAUGGCGACAUGGCCGGACGCUGCUGAUGCUGAUGGACAGAUGACGAAAGGAUUUCGACCAACCAAUUGCAGAGAACCAGACCGCCAGAGAGCCGUGGGGAGUGCGCAUUAAAAAUAUGCAAACGAACAAAAAAUAUAUAAAAUUAAAAUUGCAAUUAAGCGUGGGAAAUAUGCGCAAAGUGUUGAAAUGCGAACUGACGGCUUCGAAUUGAAACUAUUGACCAAGCAAAUACUCUGCGGCCCCUUUCUCAUGCCACAAUCGCCACCGUGAACAAAUAAGCCAAGGAUAUCUGUUAAAUUUAUGUAAAGAUAUGCGAAAACACGCCCCCUCAAAAGCCGCCCCUUCAGCCUGACGCUCGUCGCUUUCAAUUUGUGGAAGACACUCGUUGCGCCCACAGCUCUCGACUCGACUCGACUCAACUCAACUCGAAUCAACUAAAAUUGAUUUAUGGAUAUUUUUAGAGAAGAAACGGGCCGCGACUGGGUAAAAGUUUAAAGCGUGUUGCGUGUCAAGAGCAAAUAUCAAAAAUCGACAUUCGACAUACGGGGCGUGGUCGUAAAACCGCUCGAAAAUUAUAGCUUUCAGCUUUCGCGCGAAUUGUAAUAAAUUUAGAAAACUUAUAUACACAUCGCGAA
Molecule: long non-coding RNA, 902 nt
Organism: Drosophila montana
Lineage: Eukaryota; Metazoa; Arthropoda; Insecta; Diptera; Drosophilidae
Exons: 2
Source: RefSeq, a predicted model, not a curated record